GACCUGACGUUAAGGCGCNAAAGCGUGGGAAGCGAACGGGAUUAGAUACCCCGGUAGUCCACCCCGUAAACGAUGGUCACUAGGUGUGUGUGGUAUCGACCCCGCACGUCCGCAGCUAACGCAAUAAGUGACCCGCCUGGGGAGUACGGCCGCAAGGUUGAAACUCAAAGAAUUGACGGGGGCCCGCACAAGCGGUGGAGCAUGUGGAUUAAUACGUCACUAACCGUAGAACCUUACCCAGGCUUGACAUCUGUGGAACUGCCCUGAAAGGGGUGGGUGCCUCGCAAGAGGAGCCGCAAGACAGGUGUUGCAUGGCUGUCGUCAGCUCGUGUCGUGAGAUGUUGGGUUAAGUCCCGCAACGAGCGCAACCCUCACCGUAUGUUGCCAGCGUAAAGUCGGGCACUCUUACGGAACUGCCCGGGUAACCGGGAGGAAGGUGGGGAUGACGUCAAGUCAGCAUGGCCCUUACGCCUGGGGCUUCACACAUGCUACAAUGGCCGGUACAGAGGGUCCCGAGACCGCGAGGUGGAGGUAAUCCCAAAAAGCCGGCCUCAGUUCGGAUCGCAGGCUGCAACUCGCCUGCGUGAAGUCGGAAUCGCUAGUAACCGCCGAUCAGCUAAGCGGCGGUGAAUACGUUCCCGGGCCUUGUACACACCGCCCGUCACGUCACCUGAGUCUGCUGCACCCGAAGCCGCUGGCCUAACCGCAAGGGGGGAGGCGUCGAAGGUGUGGCCGGUAAGGGGGACGAAGUCGUAACAAGGUAACC
RNAcentral lists this ribosomal RNA (766 nucleotides) under uncultured bacterium. RNAcentral's name for it is "bacterial SSU rRNA". It matches the Rfam family "Bacterial small subunit ribosomal RNA", at positions 737 to 1501 of the family's 1533-position model. The record is from RNAcentral.